This 75-nucleotide transfer RNA is filed under the name Chloroflexota bacterium. Its description in RNAcentral is "tRNA-Thr". It matches the Rfam family "tRNA". From Rfam's summary of the family: Transfer RNA (tRNA) molecules are approximately 80 nucleotides in length. RNAcentral also lists the same sequence under 3 other names. Lineage: Bacteria; Bacillati; Chloroflexota. The record is from RNAcentral.
GCCAACGUAGCUCAGUGGUAGAGCAGCUGUUUCGUAAACAGCAGGUCGGCAGUUCAAUCCUGCCCGUUGGCUCCA